GGGUGACCUCAGAUCAGGUAGGGAUACCCGCU
RNAcentral lists this ribosomal RNA (32 nucleotides) under Peziza varia. RNAcentral's name for it is "partial 28S ribosomal RNA". Lineage: Eukaryota; Fungi; Ascomycota; Pezizomycetes; Pezizales; Pezizaceae. The record is from RNAcentral.